Trichonephila clavata is the source of this 73-nucleotide non-coding RNA. Lineage: Eukaryota; Metazoa; Arthropoda; Arachnida; Araneae; Nephilidae. The record is from the annotation of a GenBank genome assembly.
GUCCCUGCAGCGUAGUGGAUAGCGCGUUGGACUUCUAAUCCAACGGUCGUGGGCUCUAAUCCUUCCUGGGAUG